CCAGCAGUAAAAUGGAGGCGUGGGUUUUUAGGAGGCAGACACCCCGUGCUAUGAAAAAACCCAGCCCAGUCAACUCUCCAGCACAUCUCGCAACAAGAGGAUUGUGAUGUAUCACAUAUAACAUACCAUAUAUGCCUUUUCCUGACAGACCAUGAGGAAGAUAGAUAGAUGUAGAAUAUCCUGAGUUAGAAAGGACAUACAAGGAUCAUCAGGUUCAACUCCAGUGUUUUCCAAACCAGGAAAAAUAAUACUCAAAGGAUGGACCACUUCACAGGAGCUGACAGCUGCUGAAGGACAUGAGAAAUAUGUCAAAAAUGCUUUUUUUUUCAGUUCUCAGGAUUAACACCAGUGAAAAAUGGAGGAUAGCUCUUGUAGAUGUUGCUGGUGAAAGAGGUGAGACCGUACAGCUCCAAACAUUGGCUGUUUCCAGGAGCACAUCUCUGCUGCCAUUUCUGAGUCAUGAUUAUAGAAAACCUCUGUAAGAGCUUGGAUGUACCACCAGCACUUGACGUGCAGCAGAUAAACUUGCAUAAGAAAGACCUGGUAAUGUCGAUAGUGAUGACAGCAAAUCAACCUUCCAUGUCGGCAUAGGGCUGAAACCAAAGAUAAAUCUACAAGAAGAGACUUCUAUGUUGAUGCCACCUCUGCAUCACCUUGGGGCCUUUCCUUGCUCCCCAGGAGCCUCAGCAAUUAUUCCUAGCACAAGGAAUUAAAGGUUGACUCUUCUAAAAGAAAGAACAGAUUUUCAUUGGAAGGAAAAGCCUCUUGGCUGAAGAGCACAAUGGUGGAGUAGAAGCAAGAGGACAUCCUCUGGUCAUGCGGGAAGCUCUCAUGUCUACACAGCCUGAAUCCUCACCAUGAAAAGCUUUGAGGAGAAAGGGAGAGACUGGGGCAGAGAAAAAUGGACACAGCCUCCCAUGAGUACAGCAAAUGCCUCCACAGACUCUUUCAAAGCUCCAUAUUCACUGAUAUACACUCAGCGUCCCUCUUUUGUAUGACCUCUUGAAGUUAUCCCCACUUUGAUUUUCCGUGAUCAUAACCCAAACUUUUCCUUCUUUCUUUCUUUUUUUUUUUUUUUGUUGUUUUGUUUUGGUUUUGUUUUGUUUUUGGUUUCUUUGUGGAGUGAAAAGGAGGCUGACCUUCUUAAAACAGAGGAACAUUUCAGAGUUAUCCAACACAUGAAAUUAUACUUCCAAAAAUCAGAGAUGUUCUCCAGUACUCAUUAAAGCUAGCCAGAAAUGGAACUAAUAUAAACCUUGGCCAUUCUCCCAGCUGAGUGCCCUAAUAAUAGAAAUGCCCCUCUGACUGAGUAGCUGAUACUGGGGUUCUGCCAAGUCAUUUCCAUUAAAAAGAGCCAUUGGUGACAGACGUCCAGUACAAUAUCAUUGGUGGAGUCCUGCUUGUCUUUCUUAGUGCACCACUGGCAUGAGCAAGAAAAAGUCCAUUUUCCAUGUCCUGUUUUCAGUUCUCUUUCUGUAAUUAGCACUUUCCUGAUGUCUCUGCUCUUCAUGAGGUCUCUCCAAAGCCUGCUUCUCUUUACUUUCUGGUUAUGGUAUGUGCACAAACGCUACAAAUAAAUUCACCCUCUCACCCUUGCAGCAGCUUGUAGAAAGCCUUCCAAGCCAAUGUAACUGAGUUGGGGAGCAGUGCUGUGUGCAACCCAUUGCUGGUGGGUCAAUUUUUUCUAUCUCUAUUAUUUUACAAGGGUCACUUCUUCCAUCUAGCCUGAAGGAAGAAUUGCUAGUGAAAUUGAGGGAAGCUAUUAAACCUAUCAGGUUGCAGUGGCUAGAGAUGAGAGAUAUGCACAAAGAGGCCACAAAAGCCACUGUUGCUUGGCCAUAUGGCCAUUUAGCCACUGUUAGAAAACACCACUGUAAAGGCUCCAGAAACAUCUAAAAAGUGAUUUGCACAAGCUAUGAUAACAGUAUUCAAACAGCUGUAAUGUAUCUCAUCUUGAACUACUCCAAGGACCAACACUGUUUGCAUCUUAAUCUAGAUACUCUUGGACCUGUCCUUUUCUACAAGGCAAGAUUUCUUGUUCUUCAUAGGACACCUACGAAGUUGGGUGGCUUUUCCAGGCAUUGGUGUCAUAGGAAAUCUCCUUGGCCAUGUCUGGGGUUUUUGGAACCUGUCUGUGUCAUUGUGGCUCCUUUGCCAGCAAAAAGUGCAGGGAAAGGCUGAAGAGCUCAUCAUUCAUCUUUUUCCUUCUGUCUUAUAAAUAUUAGCUCAGAUUUUAACUUGCAGAAGAGAAGUACCUCAAUAGUUCUCCCAAUCACAUUUUAUGCCAGACUCUUCUGAUAUGACCUUAUCAGAGAUCACUGGGCAGAAUGCCUGCUUAACAAAACUCACUGCAGAUACAUCUGAGUGCUGCCAUUUGCAGGAUACCAGAUCCAUGCCUCGGCUGUUUCAGAUGACAUACAUAUUUAAUCCGUGGCAGUAUAUUAGCAGAUCAGACUUAGAUUAAUCAGGCUGAAGGUAACUUUUGGAUCUUUUCCACAAUUAGGUCAGAGAUAAAUAUGGUAGAUUGUUAUGUGCCACAACACAAGCAAGCACUGGGCAGCAGGUGAAAUUGUCAGGGACAUCAGCCAAAGAGAUACUGUGAUGAGAUUAAGGGAAGUGAAGUCAAUAGCAUCUUUGUGUAUCUUCAUGUGUGUGCACAGAUGUGAUUUGAGCUUUUCAAUUUAAAGAAGCCGCUAAUUAACACUGAAUUUUUCUCUGCUGUUAUAGCAGUGAACGUACAAAUGUGCUUUAUGCUAAAAUAUCCUUUUCUAUUUCCUUAGUGUUGUAAAAUAGGUCCUGCCCACUGAUACUGAUAGAGAAAGCUGGAGCUAGAAUAGCAACACAGCUGUUCAAAACCAAGGGGAAGUCCUUAUUUUUGAGGCUCAGUAAUGAUUGAAAUACAGUCAGCAAACAAAAGGGAAUUAGUACCUUUAAAAUGCAUUUAGGGUGUCCAAUAUAAAAUGUGACAGUGGAUAUUUGUGGGACAAUUUUCUGCAAAUUAAAAAUUGAGCUAAGGGUAAUAAAUCAAAGGAAAUAUUUAAAAGCUCUCUAGCCUUUACCAGUACCCCUUGGAAAGGGCUUCUAAAGUACUAUUCUACACACACAUUCUGAUGAGAGAAAAUUUUGAUUAAAAUAUUAAAAUGUUUUUGGGAUUUUUUUCAUUUUUAUGCUCACUUAUUGCACUUGUAACACCAGGAGGGCAAGUGGUGAUACCUUCAUUACAGUAAUUCAAGGAAAAGAAGUCAGUGGACUCCAAAGUGAAAAGCAAAUGUGCUGUAACAGUGGAAAGCUAAGAUGCAGCUGAGAUCUUGCCCACAGUGAAGCUUCCUAAAGGAUUCUUCACCUUCAAACUGCAAUGGUUAGGAUUACAUCAGUACAGAGGUCAGUACAGUACAAAAGUUUUUACUUGAGUUGCAAUAAGAAAAAGAAAAAAAGAGAGAGAGAGAUGUAUAUAUACGUACACAUAUUUUUUCUUUGUUUCUUUCAUGGGUUAGUGGAAAAUUCUGAUAUUCUUCCAAGCAGGGGACAUGCUUUCAGGGUCCUAUAGCAUUGCAUGUGAUACACAUGAAAGGGGAACUCAGCUUCCCUGUGGCAGGUAGCUCUUCCAGAUAAUAGCUUUUUUAAGCUAAUGCCUUGGUAAUAGCCCAUCUCCUUAACCAUCCUCUGAAGAGUAUCAUUGGCAAGUACAAUUAGGUCCCACACUUCUCUCAGAAGAUGGAUCCCACUAGCUUAUUACAGGAAAAAUAUACUCACUCUCCUUUUUCAAAGGUUAACUAGCUCAUCACAGAUAUUUAUCAAUUCUGUUCUUGUUGGCCUCUCCCAAAAGCAGCAAUCCAUGUCUGUCCUUCAUACUUCAAGCAAUGGUCUAGAGGACACCUUUCUCCACACAGUGGCAGUCUUCUUACAGACUCUCAAACCUCUUCACACCAUUUCUGGCUGCCAAUGCAGAGAGAGGAGGUAGUAGUGUCUCCAAUGUGAAAUAAAUGUCUAGUGCUCACAUUCUCUCAGUGGAAAAUGCUUGCUAGAGGCUCAGUCUGGCUCUACAUGCAACAUUCUUAUUUGGAGCUUGCGUCCUAUCAGGCAUUUUGCAGUAGGAUCUUCAAUUUUAUUAGCAGGACUGUACCCAGGAGACAAGAGCGAAAUUAUUCUGUAAAUAUGUAUUUUAGAAUUGAUUCUUCUUUGAUGAGUUUUCGUCCUUCCCAUUAGUCUUAUCUGGAGGGGAUUCUGCUCCUGGCCCCACCACUGCUUUGCUUUUGGCUGUUUCUUGGCCGUUUCUUGGCCAUUUCUCAUCCCUGAGAGUGACCUUUCUCCCAUUCCCCUUGACAGGUCUUGCUCAAGGAUGCUGUGCUGAGUUGUUGUGUACACUGACUGGGUCUUUUCCCAACCUGCUCCUUGACAGCACUCUGGAGCUCCCCACUGAACACCUGGCGGUGGGAUAGGCUGUGUGUGCUGGUAAAAUUAUCUUUGAGCUGUCACCUACAGCAUGCUUAGAUUCAGAAUAUGCUGCAAGCCUCAGAGGCCUUCUGAAUGGCAUAUCCUAGGUUUGGUCCUCAGGAGCACCAUGAAAAUCACCCUUGUACGUGUGGCCCUCCUCCCACACCAAACAUUAGUGGUGCCUCCUCCUUUCUCUGCUCUCACUGCCCCACUCUGGAGCCACGGUGUUCUGCGUAAUGACCAUUAAAGUUGUUUUUCUAGGGCAUAUCCAGAUUGCUCUGGAUUGCUCCGUCUCAGGGGCCGUGCAAGGCAGACAAAGGGCACUUGAAGCUCAAAGAAGGGAAUUUCCCAGGACCAAAAGUGCAAAGAUGGCAUUGAUUCUGCUACAGUGUUGUGAAGAUUAGCAUUCUGAGUCACCUGGGGGAAAAUGAAUCCAUUUUCCCUGGUUCCAUUCUAAUUCAUUUGCCAAAGAAAAGGCAAAACAGAAAUCUGUGGAACUUUCACCUUUGUGUCAAUGCACUGUCACUAAGAGCUACUAAAGAACAUAUUCCCCCUCCGGGCCCUCUGAGGUCACAUAGUUUUUCACAGAUAGCGGAAAGAGGAGCAAUGGCUCCAGCUGCCACCAUCCUAGCACUUUGCUAAAAGUCAGAUUCAGACUUUUUAGUUAGCUGAAAAGGCUGUGGUUUUGAAUCAGUUAUAUAGCUGUUCAGAUGACUAGAGAGCAUUUUAUAUUAUUUGUAUCAGUAAAAAUGUAGUGUUUAGCACAAGUAAAAUGCUGUCAGGAUCCCCAGAAUUAACUUCUUUUUCAUUAAUACUGCCUCACAGGCUUUCUCCAUAGCAAGAACAUUAAUUGAGCACUUUCGUUUCAGUGGGAACUCACAGAACUGAACGCAUGCUUUUCACAAAGUCAGUUUUCUUAAUUAUUAUUUGAGAUGCUUGUUUUGACUCAAAUUUCUAUUCUUCCUUAGAGGAUGCUGAAGAGAACUAAUCCACUCUGAAUAUUUUCCCUCCCAGAUUAUUUCUGCUACUUAGCAUUGGAAACUUAUCCUUCAUCAGGGACUGAUCUGGAAGCUGGUGAAGUCAGUGAAGCCCUUUUUAUAAUUUUUUUUCUUCUGAUUUCCAUGAGCACUGCAUUGGAAUUAGAAGCAAACUGGCUAUAUAAGUUUGUCUGGAACUGGUGAAACUGCUCUUGUUCUGCAGCUUAGCCCUAAAUGUGAUGACAUUUCACAUUUUCCAUGCAAAAGUAGGAGAAGUAUCUUCAAAUUGCAUAAAUAUCUUCCUUUUCUCUUCCUGUCAAGCCAGAGAAGAUUAAUUUUUAAAGUAAAAUCUGUAGGGGGCAUUUAUGGAGAAAGUGUGACUGCUCAGAUUACUCUUCUAGGCAGGAGUUCCUUCAGGCAGCUUUGGUUUUGGCUUUCCAGUUCUCAAAAGAAGUUUAAGACAUGAACUUCUAUGUUGAAAAGCAUUAGAAUAAAUUACCUUGAAGGCCUGGAAGAAGCUGUUAUUUUUUAAGAUAUUGGAUUAUAGAUAAUGAAAAUAAAUAGAUUCAUUAAAAUAUUUCCAUGCUACUUUAUGUAAUGCUGAUCUCAUCCUAUAGCUUUUGUUUCUUUGUACCUUGCUGUUUUCUAAUUUUAAAGAAUAAGGAUUAGAGAGCUCUACAUAUUCUCUUUAUGCCCACACAUUAAAUUUAUUCUCUCUGUAUUUAGAAAUAUAUUUCUAAACAUAGAAAUGUAAAUAUUGUGCUGAGUCAGAUCUUCUGACUAUAUUCAUGAAUCGUAGGAUCAUAGAAUCAUUUCAAUUGGAAGGAUCCCUUUACGGUCACCUAGUCCAACUCCCUUCAAUGAACAGGGAUACCUACAGCUACAUCUGGGUCCUCAGAGCCCAACCAGCCUGACCUCGAGUGUCUCCAGGGAUGGGGCAUCCAUCACCUCUCUGGGCAACCUGUGCCAGUGCUUCACCAAUAUUAUAAAAAACUUCUCCCUUACAUCCAAACUAAACCUCCUGUCUUUUAGUUUGAAACCAUUUCUCCUUGUCCUAUAACCACAGACCCUGCUAAAGAGUCUGUCCCCUUUCUUCUUAUAGCCUCCCUUUAGAUACUGAAAGGAAAUGUGACUUCAGGUGAUGCAGAACCCUGUUGCUGAGGUUAGGAUACCACUUCAGCACAGUGAGAGUCCUUUGCAGGAAAUGCCAAUGUCUGCAAUCUCACAGAUUACUUCCACAUUCCUCUAGAAUGUUUUCAGUAACAUUACUUAUUUAACGCUGUAAGUUUUGGCUGCUGCCUCACCUUUUCUCAGCAGCUCCUGGGCCACCAAUGUCAAUAACAGGUUUGAAAAAAGAUGAAGGGCUCUAGCAGUUCAGCCUGCAGUAGCUAAAUAUAAUUUUCCCAUCAGUUCUUUCCUAUUGCCUAUUUCCUACUGCAUCUCAUGCUGGGGAAGAAGUGAAGCAGGGUGAGAAAGUCACAGUGCCUGUGGAGGAGUGGGGUUGGCCUUUACUCCUCACUUCUGCAGCAGGAGAAAAAAAUCUGUCCCCAGAGGCAUCAUAUAUCCCUGGAUUUCCCGCCCCCACCCCCCCCCCUCCAACAGUUAUAAAUUGUCAGUAACUCAUGUGAGACUCUAAAAGCUUCUAUUGCUAUAACACCUAUGACCUAUGAUUCAGAGCAUCAUAAGUGAUGGCUCUGUAGCCUGAAAAAAUAUGGAGAAAAAGUACUGAGAAGCAAAAAGAGAUCUCUCAUGUUGCACAUUUUUGACACUUUCCUCCUAUGGCAAUGAGAUUUUUCUUAAGGAUUCUUUUUAUUGACUUGGCUUUAUCAUAGUGCAUGACAGCAUCUAUCCAGUGAGAGAUGACUUAACCUUUCUCCUCAAGUACUGAACCAGUCAGGUCCAGCCAGUCACAACAGGAUGCCAAAGACCUGACCUGAUGCUACACUCUUGAAGACCCACUUUAAAGACAUGUUUUCUUGAUAAAUUAGAAGUCAUUAUAAUUGUUUUACAGUUAAAUGUGAGUAGUUUAAAUGCCUCAGGGCUUCAUUUUGUCUUACUAGCUAGAAUUUUGUCCUGCAGCUUUGCCAAUAUGUCUGCACACUCUUUAGAAUUAAUCCUGGAUCUCCCUCCUUCCAUCCUACUGUAUUUCCAACUUCACAGAGUCUAUUUGUUUGGGACUUAUUUUCUAAGCCAUUAUUUUUCCUCUUACAUUAGUGUCUUGAAAUGGAACUACUCCACUGUUUUAAUCUACUACUUCUCUGAGUGCAAUAUGACUGCUUCAGUCCUUACUUCUCUGAUAAAUCUGCUGAGCAUUCAUUCAGGAAAGCUGUGUCCUUCUGCAAGGCGACCUACCACUGUUAUCUGACUUUUUAUCUGAAGGCAGUUUCUCAGCCAGUUUACAUUUUCCUGGUGUCAGUCAUGCACUUUGAGGGAAGGUUCUCUGAUAUCAGCCUGAUAUCAAAUCCCCUCUGCGUGAGAUAGUUCACAGGACCAUUGCACAGCAUGCUGAGAACUCUUCUGUAUCAUGAUGAGUGUUAUCAGCAUACCUCAAACUUGAUCAGCAGAAUGUAUUCUAGCAAACUAUUUAGUUGAUGCUUAUAGCCAUGCACUGCAAAGUACACAUCUGGAUCCACAGUCUCAAAGACAUGAAGCAGGUUACGGCAAUUCAGUCACAAAUGUAAGUGACAGGGGUGUUUGCAGACACAAGGAGGGUAAGGGUAAUGUAUACAACAUUGGCUUUCUGCCAUAAAUUUACAUAACUGCUUGGGAAUUAACCUGUCAAGACUCCUGGAUUCCCUCCCUGGUCAUGGGAGGCACAACUGGUGGAAGAUGCUCAGGUUGGGCUCAGCCUUGCACAACUUGCGGAAUAUGUCACAUUCUAACUGCACUUUUGAGACACUCAUUGGCAUAAUCCCAGGGACAAGAACAC
Gallus gallus (chicken) is the source of this 8340-nucleotide long non-coding RNA. Lineage: Eukaryota; Metazoa; Chordata; Aves; Galliformes; Phasianidae. The record is from Ensembl.